Molecule: ribosomal RNA, 433 nt
Filed under: uncultured bacterium
Lineage: Bacteria
Description: partial 16S ribosomal RNA
Rfam family: Bacterial small subunit ribosomal RNA
Source: RNAcentral
AACGAACGCUGGCGGCAGGCCUAACACAUGCAAGUCGAGCGGACCUUUCGGGGUCAGCGGCGGACGGGUGAGUAACGCGUGGGAAUAUGCCCUUCUCUACGGAAUAGUCCUGGGAAACUGGGGGUAAUACCGUAUACGCCCUUUGGGGGAAAGAUUUAUCGGGGAAGGAUUAGCCCGCGUUGGAUUAGGUAGUUGGUGGGGUAAUGGGCUACCAAGCCGACGAUCCAUAGCUGGUUUGAGAGGAUGAUCAGCCACACUGGGACUGAGACACGGCCCAGACUCCUACGGGAGGCAGCAGUGGGGAAUCUUAGACAAUGGGGGCAACCCUGAUCUAGCCAUGCCGCGUGAGUGAUGAAGGCCUUAGGGUUGUAAAGCUCUUUCAGCUGGGAAGAUAAUGACGGUACCAGCAGAAGAAGCCCCGGCUAACUCCGUG